This 955-nucleotide ribosomal RNA is filed under the name Francisella tularensis. RNAcentral describes it as "bacterial SSU rRNA". It matches the Rfam family "Bacterial small subunit ribosomal RNA", at positions 577 to 1533 of the family's 1533-position model. Lineage: Bacteria; Pseudomonadati; Pseudomonadota; Gammaproteobacteria; Thiotrichales; Francisellaceae. The record is from RNAcentral.
GGUUUGUUAAGUCAGAUGUGAAAGCCCAGGGCUCAACCUUGGAACUGCAUUUGAUACUGGCAAACUAGAGUACGGUAGAGGAAUGGGGAAUUUCUGGUGUAGCGGUGAAAUGCGUAGAGAUCAGAAGGAACACCAAUGGCGAAGGCAACAUUCUGGACCGAUACUGACACUGAGGGACGAAAGCGUGGGGAUCAAACAGGAUUAGAUACCCUGGUAGUCCACGCUGUAAACGAUGAGUACUAGCUGUUGGAGUCGGUGUAAAGGCUCUAGUGGCGCAGCUAACGCGAUAAGUACUCCGCCUGGGGACUACGGCCGCAAGGCUAAAACUCAAAGGAAUUGACGGGGACCCGCACAAGCGGUGGAGCAUGUGGUUUAAUUCGAUGCAACGCGAAGAACCUUACCUGGUCUUGACAUCCUGCGAACUUUCUAGAGAUAGAUUGGUGCCUUCGGGAACGCAGUGACAGGUGCUGCACGGCUGUCGUCAGCUCGUGUUGUGAAAUGUUGGGUUAAGUCCCGCAACGAGCGCAACCCCUAUUGAUAGUUACCAUCAUUAAGUUGGGUACUCUAUUAAGACUGCCGCUGACAAGGCGGAGGAAGGUGGGGACGACGUCAAGUCAUCAUGGCCCUUACGACCAGGGCUACACACGUGCUACAAUGGGUAUUACAGAGGGCUGCGAAGGUGCGAGCUGGAGCGAAACUCAAAAAGGUACUCUUAGUCCGGAUUGCAGUCUGCAACUCGACUGCAUGAAGUCGGAAUCGCUAGUAAUCGCAGGUCAGAAUACUGCGGUGAAUACGUUCCCGGGUCUUGUACACACCGCCCGUCACACCAUGGGAGUGGGUUGCUCCAGAAGUAGAUAGCUUAACGAAUGGGCGUUUACCACGGAGUGAUUCAUGACUGGGGUGAAGUCGUAACAAGGUAGCCGUAGGGGAACCUGCGGCUGGAUCACCUCCUUAA